GUGCUCACUUCAGCAGCACAUAUGCUAAAAUUGAAACAAUACGGAGAAGAUUAGCAUUGCCCCUGCACAAAGAUAACACACAAAUUCAUGAAGCAUUCCAUAUUUUU
Molecule: small nuclear RNA, 107 nt
Filed under: Propithecus coquereli (Coquerel's sifaka)
Lineage: Eukaryota; Metazoa; Chordata; Mammalia; Primates; Indriidae
Source: RNAcentral